AUGCAGUCGACGAACUCUGGUAUUGAUUGGUGCUUGCAUCAUGAUUUACAUUUGAGUGAGUGGCGAACUGGUGAGUAACACGUGGGAAACCUGCCCAGAAGCGGGGGAUAACACCUGGAAACAGAUGCUAAUACCGCAUAACAACUUGGACCGCAUGGUCCGAGCUUGAAAGAUGGCUUCGGCUAUCACUUUUGGAUGGUCCCGCGGCGUAUUAGCUAGAUGGUGGGGUAACGGCUCACCAUGGCAAUGAUACGUAGCCGACCUGAGAGGGUAAUCGGCCACAUUGGGACUGAGACACGGCCCAAACUCCUACGGGAGGCAGCAGUAGGGAAUCUUCCACAAUGGACGAAAGUCUGAUGGAGCAACGCCGCGUGAGUGAAGAAGGGUUUCGGCUCGUAAAACUCUGUUGUUAAAGAAGAACAUAUCUGAGAGUAACUGUUCAGGUAUUGACGGUAUUUAACCAGAAAGCCACGGCUAACUACGUGCCAGCAGCCGCGGUAAUACGUAGGUGGCAAGCGUUGUCCGGAUUUAUUGGGCGUAAAGCGAGCGCAGGCGGUUUUUUAAGUCUGAUGUGAAAGCCUUCGGCUCAACCGAAGAAGUGCAUCGGAAACUGGGAAACUUGAGUGCAGAAGAGGACAGUGGAACUCCAUGUGUAGCGGUGAAAUGCGUAGAUAUAUGGAAGAACACCAGUGGCGAAGGCGGCUGUCUGGUCUGUAACUGACGCUGAGGCUCGAAAGUAUGGGUAGCAAACAGGAUUAGAUACCCUGGUAGUCCAUACCGUAAACGAUGAAUGCUAAGUGUUGGAGGGUUUCCGCCCUUCAGUGCUGCAGCUAACGCAUUAAGCAUUCCGCCUGGGGAGUACGGCCGCAAGGCUGAAACUCAAAGGAAUUGACGGGGGCCCGCACAAGCGGUGGAGCAUGUGGUUUAAUUCGAAGCUACGCGAAGAACCUUACCAGGUCUUGACAUACUAUGCAAAUCUAAGAGAUUAGACGUUCCCUUCGGGGACAUGGAUACAGGUGGUGCAUGGUUGUCGUCAGCUCGUGUCGUGAGAUGUUGGGUUAAGUCCCGCAACGAGCGCAACCCUUAUUAUCAGUUGCCAGCAUUAAGUUGGGCACUCUGGUGAGACUGCCGGUGACAAACCGGAGGAAGGUGGGGAUGACGUCAAAUCAUCAUGCCCCUUAUGACCUGGGCUACACACGUGCUACAAUGGAUGGUACAACGAGUUGCGAACUCGCGAGAGUAAGCUAAUCUCUUAAAGCCAUUCUCAGUUCGGAUUGUAGGCUGCAACUCGCCUACAUGAAGUCGGAAUCGCUAGUAAUCGCGGAUCAGCAUGCCGCGGUGAAUACGUUCCCGGGCCUUGUACACACCGCCCGUCACACCAUGAGAAGUUUGUAACACCCAAAGUCGGUGGGGUAAACCUUU
RNAcentral lists this ribosomal RNA (1422 nucleotides) under Lactiplantibacillus plantarum. Its description in RNAcentral is "bacterial SSU rRNA". It matches the Rfam family "Bacterial small subunit ribosomal RNA". The record is from RNAcentral. Lineage: Bacteria; Bacillati; Bacillota; Bacilli; Lactobacillales; Lactobacillaceae.